GAUGAAGAACGCAGUGAAAUGCGAUAAGUAAUGUGAAUUGCAGAAUUCCGUGAAUCAUCGAAUCUUUGAACGCACAUUGCGCCCCCUGGCAUUCCGGGGGGCAUGCCUGUCCGAGCGUCAUUUCUGCCCUCCAGCCCGGCUGGGUGUUGGGCGCUGUCCCCCCGGGGACACGCCCCAAAGGCAGUGGCGGCGCCGCGUCGGGUCCUCGAGCGUAUGGGGCUUUGUCACCCGCUCGGGACGGACUCGUCGGCGCUGGUCUUCCUCCAGGCGACCCUUCGGGGCUCGUCUUCCUUCGGUUGACCUCGGAUCAGGUAGGGUUACCCGCUGAACUUAAGCAUAUCAAUAAGCGGAGGA
Molecule: unclassified non-coding RNA, 354 nt
Filed under: soil metagenome
Description: partial contains 5.8S ribosomal RNA, internal transcribed spacer 2, and large subunit ribosomal RNA
Rfam family: 5.8S ribosomal RNA (bases 1-120)
Source: RNAcentral